This 524-nucleotide long non-coding RNA is filed under the name Homo sapiens (human). Its description in RNAcentral is "HSALNT0296608". The record is from RNAcentral. Lineage: Eukaryota; Metazoa; Chordata; Mammalia; Primates; Hominidae.
CAAGACUGCUAGCAAGCAGCACCCUUUCUGCAGAAAGUAAACUAGCCUUGCUGAGAGAUCCUUUGUCUCAGUGUUGAUUUUUGCAACACUAAGCACCCGUUCCCAACAAUUUGGUGGCCCGUAGGGGAUUAACAUUCCCCUCUGGGACAGUCUUUGGUCCUCUCUCAUGGGGAGGUGCCCCACUGCCCAUUGUAGCAGCCCCUGGAGGACAGCCAGGACCUACCCGGAGCAAGGAAUAUAGUUGGAUUCUCAGCAACGCAGGGAAAGAGAGAGGCUUGCAGGACCACAGUGACCAGGUGACUCCAUGCACGGGCCAAGAUGUCUGUAGCAUGCGGCUUGUCACAUCUGCAAGGGAGCUGCCUGGAUUUGCCGGGGCCUGUUUUCUGAAAAAUGGACCACUUAAAAAGUACUUCUUACAGAUUCUUGAUAACCUGUUUCACAAUCCUAGGCAGUUGUCAGCUACAUAGCCUUAAAUUUGCAUACUAAAGGAAAUAAAGGUGAAAAUCAAAUAGAAAAAUUUACAU